GCGAAAUGUUUAAAUCGUUUUGUUUGUUUUACGCCGCGACGAAUUUCUAUAUCAUCCGAGACUGCAGUAACGAUAACCGGAUCGACUAACAUUCUAGGACGUUGGCAAAGGUAGUAGUUGGAGAUUCAGUCACAAUCGUUUGAUCUCAGCAUCUAAGCGGUGUUGUGUAAUUACCAUUGCACCAGCCGCAGCAAAUCAGGAAUGUUAAUCCCGUCGCCUAUCCCGGGACUUUGGCGGGAUAUGAUUGUUUCGAACCAUACGGGAGUUCUACUCUUAGAACAGCAGCUGAAGAAGAAGAAGAAAGUAUGCCGGAAAAUGUCCUCAUCAACCAAUGCAAGAACCGUCGCAAUAAGUAGAUGGGCAAAGUUAGCGGAGAAAAAAUUGCCACAAAGAAGAAACAACUUCUUAAAACCGAAAAAUCCGCAACAACACGGUCCAAACACCGAAAUAGAAAUGUGUCCAGUAUCGUCAACAUCAGAUCCGCUCAGGAGAAAACGCUUGGGAAACAUGGAUGUUGUUUAUAAGUAGGUACAUCAGAUGUAACGGUACGUGUCAAUGUUUUUUUUCUGAUUUCCAACCGGAUCUUGCAUUAAAAAUUAACAAUAGCUUCGUUCACUCGUAAGUAGAGAUAGGUUCCUACUGGUUUUUGUCAACUGGUAAAUAAUUAAAGUAAUAUGAUAUUCGCAUUCAAUAUCAAAAUUAUUUUUCAUUAUGACUAAUGUACCAUGAACACUGUAUAAAAAUAGACGAUAUUAUGAACAUUGUAUUGUGAACAUAUAUAACCCUCAUUUGUUCUAAGUGGAGAAAUACUCAUGAAACAUUUAAAUUAAGCGGCAUCAACUAUAACAUACUACCCAUUGGAUAAAGUAAAAGAUAUAUAAUUGACGUAUAAAAUUAGUUCCUUCUGAAGCUUAUCGUAACAUGCACGAAAAAAGAAAAUUUAUGAGCUCAUAAAAGUGUUCAAAACAUUUAGAUGUAAUAAUCUGAUAUAACGUUACAUGUAUACUGGUGUUAAAUGCACAUUUUUCUUAAUUAAAUGCCAAGACUAUGCCGCUUAUCUAA
Molecule: long non-coding RNA, 1062 nt
Organism: Uranotaenia lowii
Lineage: Eukaryota; Metazoa; Arthropoda; Insecta; Diptera; Culicidae
Exons: 2
Source: RefSeq, a predicted model, not a curated record